This 776-nucleotide ribosomal RNA is filed under the name uncultured archaeon. RNAcentral's name for it is "bacterial SSU rRNA". It matches the Rfam family "Archaeal small subunit ribosomal RNA", at positions 5 to 791 of the family's 1478-position model. The record is from RNAcentral.
CGGUUGAUCCUGCCGGACCUGACUGCUAUCGGAUUGAUACUAAGCCAUGCGAGUCAUUGUAGCAAUACAAGGCAGACGGCUCAGUAACGCGUAGUCAAUCUACCCUAUGGACGGGAAUAACCUCGGGAAACUGAGAAUAAUGCCCGAUAGAACAUUAUGCCUGGAAUGGUUUAUGUUUCAAAUGAUUUAUCGCCAUAGGAUGGGACUGCGGCCUAUCAGUUUGUUGGUGAGGUAAUGGCCCACCAAGACUAUUACAGGUACGGGCUCUGAGAGGAGUAGCCCGGAGAUGGGUACUGAGACACGGACCCAGGCCCUAUGGGGCGCAGCAGGCGAGAAAACUUUGCAAUGUGCGAAAGCACGACAAGGUUAAUCCGAGUGGUUUCUGCUAAAGAAACCUUUUGUCAGUCCUAGAAACACUAACGAAUAAGGGGUGGGCAAGUUCUGGUGUCAGCCGCCGCGGUAAAACCAGCACCUCAAGUGGUCAGGAUGAUUAUUGGGCCUAAAGCAUCCGUAGCUCGUUUUGUAAGUUUUCGGUUAAAUCCAUGCGCUUAACGUAUGGGCUGCCGGGAAUACUGCAUAACUAGGAAGUGGGAGAGGUAGACGGUACUCGGUAGGAAGGCGUAAAAUCCUUUGAUCUAUUGAUGACCACCUGUGGCGAAGGCAGUCUACCUGAUCACGUUCGACGGUGACGGAUGAAAGCUGGGGGAUGACCGUCGCAUUACUUUCAGUUCUCUACCCAUAUACCACACUAUUUAGUCUAAAGUGAAGCACUGGCU